This 76-nucleotide transfer RNA is filed under the name Alphaproteobacteria bacterium. RNAcentral describes it as "tRNA-Lys". It matches the Rfam family "tRNA". From Rfam's summary of the family: Transfer RNA (tRNA) molecules are approximately 80 nucleotides in length. Their secondary structure includes four short double-helical elements and three loops (D, anti-codon, and T loops). Further hydrogen bonds mediate the characteristic L-shaped molecular structure. tRNAs have two regions of fundamental functional importance: the anti-codon, which is responsible for specific mRNA codon recognition, and the 3' end, to which the tRNAs corresponding amino acid is attached (by aminoacyl-tRNA synthetases). tRNAs cope with the degeneracy of the genetic code in two manners: having more than one tRNA (with a specific anti-codon) for a particular amino acid; and 'wobble' base-pairing, i.e. permitting non-standard base-pairing at the 3rd anti-codon position. The record is from RNAcentral. RNAcentral also lists the same sequence under 1 other name. Lineage: Bacteria; Pseudomonadati; Pseudomonadota; Alphaproteobacteria.
GCGUGCGUAGCUCAGUUGGUAGAGCAACUGACUCUUAAUCAGUGGGUCCGGAGUUCGAACCUCCGCGCGCGUACCA